This 434-nucleotide ribosomal RNA is filed under the name uncultured Clostridium sp. RNAcentral describes it as "partial 16S ribosomal RNA". It matches the Rfam family "Bacterial small subunit ribosomal RNA", at positions 341 to 792 of the family's 1533-position model. RNAcentral also lists the same sequence under 1 other name. Lineage: Bacteria; Bacillati; Bacillota; Clostridia; Eubacteriales; Clostridiaceae. The record is from RNAcentral.
ACGGAAGGCAGCAGUGGGGAAUAUUGCACAAUGGGCGAAAGCCUGAUACAGCGACGCCGCGUGAGUGAAGAAGUAUCUCGGUAUGUAAAGCUCUAUCAGCAGGGAAGAAAAUGACGGUACCUGACUAAGAAGCCCCGGCUAACUACGUGCCAGCAGCCGCGGUAAUACGUAGGGGGCAAGCGUUAUCCGGAUUUACUGGGUGUAAAGGGAGCGUAGACGGUUUGGCAAGUCUGAAGUGAAAUGCGGGGGCUCAACUCCUGAACUGCUUUGGAAACUGUCGAACUAGAGUGCAGGAGAGGUAAGUGGAAUUCCUAGUGUAGCGGUGAAAUGCGUAGAUAUUAGGAGGAACACCAGUGGCGAAGGCGGCUUACUGGACUGUAACUGACGUUGAGGCUCGAAAGCGUGGGGAGCAAACAGGAUUAGAUACCCUGGUA